CUUUGAUUUAUGAACCUCGAUGAACCCAUCAUCAAGAAAAUUACGAAUACCACUACAAGUUGGUCAACAACAGUACACCAACAACGUUUAUAAAAUAACUGAGAUACUACGUGCGCUCUCAUUGGUUGAUGGGUGUGUUAAGAUGAGGGUAAUGUGACUGAUCUUGAUUACCUGGAAAAAAAGUACUGUAAGAUGAACAACAACAUAAGAUUUCAUCCCCAGUGAAAUGGAA
Molecule: long non-coding RNA, 232 nt
Organism: Orbicella faveolata
Lineage: Eukaryota; Metazoa; Cnidaria; Anthozoa; Scleractinia; Merulinidae
Source: RefSeq, a predicted model, not a curated record